GGAAUCGCUAGUAAUCGUGGAUCAGAAUGCCACGGUGAAUACGUUCCCGGGCCUUGUACACACCGCCCGUCACACCAUGGGAGUGGGUUGCAAAAGAAGUAGGUAGCUUAACCUUCGGGAGGGCGCUUACCACUUUGUGAUUCAUGACUGGGGUGAAGUCGUAACAAGGUAACCGUAGGGGAACCUGCGGUUGGAUCACCUCCUUA
This 206-nucleotide ribosomal RNA is filed under the name Escherichia coli. RNAcentral describes it as "partial 16S ribosomal RNA". It matches the Rfam family "Bacterial small subunit ribosomal RNA", at positions 1328 to 1533 of the family's 1533-position model. The record is from RNAcentral. RNAcentral also lists the same sequence under 1 other name. Lineage: Bacteria; Pseudomonadati; Pseudomonadota; Gammaproteobacteria; Enterobacterales; Enterobacteriaceae.